GACGAACGCUGGCGGCGUGCCUAAUACAUGCAAGUAGAACGCUGAAGGAGGAGCUUGCUUCUCCGGAUGAGUUGCGAACGGGUGAGUAACGCGUAGGUAACCUGCCUGGUAGCGGGGGAUAACUAUUGGAAACGAUAGCUAAUACCGCAUAAGAGUAGAUGUUGCAUGACAUUUGCUUAAAAGGUGCAAUUGCAUCACUACCAGAUGGACCUGCGUUGUAUUAGCUAGUUGGUGAGGUAACGGCUCACCAAGGCGACGAUACAUAGCCGACCUGAGAGGGUGAUCGGCCACACUGGGACGGAGACACGGCCCAGACUCCUACGGGAGGCAGCAGUAGGGAAUCUUCGGCAAUGGACGGAAGUCUGACCGAGCAACGCCGCGUGAGUGAAGAAGGUUUUCGGAUCGUAAAGCUCGGUUGUAAGAGAAGAACGAGUGUGAGAGUGGAAAGUUCACACUGUGACGGUAACUUACCAGAAAGGGACGGCUAACUACGUG
RNAcentral lists this ribosomal RNA (495 nucleotides) under uncultured bacterium. RNAcentral describes it as "partial 16S ribosomal RNA". It matches the Rfam family "Bacterial small subunit ribosomal RNA", at positions 28 to 507 of the family's 1533-position model. The record is from RNAcentral.